CCUACGGGCGGCAGCAGUGGGGAAUAUUGCACAAUGGGGGAAACCCUGAUGCAGCGACGCCGCGUGAGUGAAGAAGUAUCUCGGUACGUAAAGCUCUAUUAGCAGGGAAGAAAAUGACGGUACCUGACUAAGAAGCCCCGGCUAACUACGUGCCAGCAGCCGCGGUAAUACGUAGGGGGCAAGCGUUAUCCGGAUUUACUGGGUGUAAAGGGAGCGUAGACGGCAGCGCAAGUCUGGAGUGAAAUGCCGGGGCCCAACCCCGGAACUGCAUUGGAAACUGUGCAGCUGGAGUGCAGGGGAGGUAGGCGGAAUUCCUGGUGUAGCGGUGAAAUGCGUAGAUAUUAGGAGGAACACCGAUGGCGAAGGCGGCUUGCUGGACUGUAACUGACGUUGAGGCUCGAAAGCGUGGGGAGCAAACAGGAUUAGAUACCCCUGUAGUC
This 440-nucleotide ribosomal RNA is filed under the name uncultured bacterium. RNAcentral's name for it is "partial 16S ribosomal RNA". It matches the Rfam family "Bacterial small subunit ribosomal RNA", at positions 338 to 795 of the family's 1533-position model. The record is from RNAcentral.